RNAcentral lists this ribosomal RNA (301 nucleotides) under uncultured bacterium. Its description in RNAcentral is "partial 16S ribosomal RNA". It matches the Rfam family "Bacterial small subunit ribosomal RNA", at positions 509 to 809 of the family's 1533-position model. The record is from RNAcentral.
CAGUAGCCGCGGGAAUACAGAGGAUUUAAGCGUUAUCCGGAAUGAUUGGGCGUAAAGCGUAUGUAGGCGGCCAGAUAAGUCAGUUGUGAAAUCCCCGGGCUCAACCCGGGAAGUGCAAUUGAUACUGUCUGGCUUGAGUAUGGAAGGGGGUAGUGGAAUUCCAGGUGUAGUGGUGAAAUACGUAGAUAUCUGGAGGAAUACCGGUGGCGAAGGCGGCUACCUGGUCCUAUACUGACGCUGAGAUACGAAAGCAUGGGUAGCAAGCAGGAUUAGAUACCCCAGUAGUCCCUGUCUCUUAUAA